Molecule: non-coding RNA, 30 nt
Filed under: Mus musculus (house mouse)
Lineage: Eukaryota; Metazoa; Chordata; Mammalia; Rodentia; Muridae
Source: RNAcentral
UGAAGUUCAAAUGGUGACGGCUAUGAGUGU